This 1450-nucleotide ribosomal RNA is filed under the name Salmonella enterica. Its description in RNAcentral is "partial 23S ribosomal RNA". It matches the Rfam family "Bacterial large subunit ribosomal RNA", at positions 711 to 2141 of the family's 2925-position model. The record is from RNAcentral. Lineage: Bacteria; Pseudomonadati; Pseudomonadota; Gammaproteobacteria; Enterobacterales; Enterobacteriaceae. RNAcentral also lists the same sequence under 4 other names.
AGACCCGAAACCCGGUGAUCUAGCCAUGGGCAGGUUGAAGGUUGGGUAACACUAACUGGAGGACCGAACCGACUAAUGUUGAAAAAUUAGCGGAUGACCUGUGGCUGGGGGUGAAAGGCCAAUCAAACCGGGAGAUAGCUGGUUCUCCCCGAAAGCUAUUUAGGUAGCGCCUCGUGAAUUCAUCUCCGGGGGUAGAGCACUGUUUCGGCUAGGGGGCCAUCCCGGCUUACCAACCCGAUGCAAACUGCGAAUACCGGAGAAUGUUAUCACGGGAGACACACGGCGGGUGCUAACGUCCGUCGUGAAGAGGGAAACAACCCAGACCGCCAGCUAAGGUCCCAAAGUCAUGGUUAAGUGGGAAACGAUGUGGGAAGGCCCAGACAGCCAGGAUGUUGGCUUAGAAGCAGCCAUCAUUUAAAGAAAGCGUAAUAGCUCACUGGUCGAGUCGGCCUGCGCGGAAGAUGUAACGGGGCUAAACCAUGCACCGAAGCUGCGGCAGCGACGCUUAUGCGUUGUUGGGUAGGGGAGCGUUCUGUAAGCCUGUGAAGGUGGCCUGUGAGGGUUGCUGGAGGUAUCAGAAGUGCGAAUGCUGACAUAAGUAACGAUAAAGCGGGUGAAAAGCCCGCUCGCCGGAAGACCAAGGGUUCCUGUCCAACGUUAAUCGGGGCAGGGUGAGUCGACCCCUAAGGCGAGGCCGAAAGGCGUAGUCGAUGGGAAACGGGUUAAUAUUCCCGUACUUGGUGUUACUGCGAAGGGGGGACGGAGAAGGCUAUGUUGGCCGGGCGACGGUUGUCCCGGUUUAAGCGUGUAGGUGUGUGUUCCAGGUAAAUCCGGUUCACUUUAACACUGAGGCGUGACGACGAGGCACUACGGUGCUGAAGCAACAAAUGCCCUGCUUCCAGGAAAAGCCUCUAAGCAUCAGGUAACAUCAAAUCGUACCCCAAACCGACACAGGUGGUCAGGUAGAGAAUACCAAGGCGCUUGAGAGAACUCGGGUGAAGGAACUAGGCAAAAUGGUGCCGUAACUUCGGGAGAAGGCACGCUGACACGUAGGUGAAGUGAUUUACUCAUGGAGCUGAAGUCAGUCGAAGAUACCAGCUGGCUGCAACUGUUUAUUAAAAACACAGCACUGUGCAAACACGAAAGUGGACGUAUACGGUGUGACGCCUGCCCGGUGCCGGAAGGUUAAUUGAUGGGGUCAGCGCAAGCGAAGCUCCUGAUCGAAGCCCCGGUAAACGGCGGCCGUAACUAUAACGGUCCUAAGGUAGCGAAAUUCCUUGUCGGGUAAGUUCCGACCUGCACGAAUGGCGUAAUGAUGGCCAGGCUGUCUCCACCCGAGACUCAGUGAAAUUGAACUCGCUGUGAAGAUGCAGUGUACCCGCGGCAAGACGGAAAGACCCCGUGAACCUUUACUAUAGCUUGACACUGAACAUUGAGCCUUGAUGUGUAG